CGGCAACAGCUCAAAUUUGAAAUCUGGCUCUUUUAGAGUCCGAGUUGUAAUUUGCAGAGGGCGCUUUGGCGUUGGCAGCGGUCCAAGUUCCUUGGAACAGGACGUCAUAGAGGGUGAGAAUCCCGUAUGUGACUGGAUACCUAUGCUCAUGUGAAGCUCUUUCGAC
RNAcentral lists this ribosomal RNA (166 nucleotides) under Sclerotiniaceae sp. Its description in RNAcentral is "partial large subunit ribosomal RNA". It matches the Rfam family "Eukaryotic large subunit ribosomal RNA", at positions 99 to 261 of the family's 3401-position model. Lineage: Eukaryota; Fungi; Ascomycota; Leotiomycetes; Helotiales; Sclerotiniaceae. The record is from RNAcentral.